RNAcentral lists this transfer RNA (73 nucleotides) under Actinomycetota bacterium. RNAcentral describes it as "Actinobacteria bacterium tRNA-Thr". It matches the Rfam family "tRNA". Rfam says of the family: Transfer RNA (tRNA) molecules are approximately 80 nucleotides in length. Their secondary structure includes four short double-helical elements and three loops (D, anti-codon, and T loops). Lineage: Bacteria; Bacillati; Actinomycetota. The record is from RNAcentral.
GCCUUCGUAGCUCCAGAGGUAGAGCGUCUCCGUGGUAUGGAGAAGGCCGUCAGUUCGAAUCUGACCGAAGGCU